This is a small nucleolar RNA of Suncus etruscus (white-toothed pygmy shrew), 129 nucleotides long. RefSeq annotates it as small nucleolar RNA SNORA17. The transcript has a single exon. Lineage: Eukaryota; Metazoa; Chordata; Mammalia; Eulipotyphla; Soricidae. The record is from RefSeq and is a predicted model, not a curated record.
GCUGCCCCUCGAGGCGUUGCAGGUGUGGCUGCGGUGCCCGGCUGCGUCGGUAGGUGGCACACAGGAGACAGGCCUGUCUACACCCAGUGCUCUGACCCGUGGGCUCUGGAUGGUUAAUGGUCUGACAUG